GUCCACGCCGUAAACGAUGAGUGCUAGCUGCUGGACAUGUCUACCAUUUCAGUGGCGUCGCUAACGCAUUAAGCACUCCGCCUGGGAAGUACGGUCGCAAGACUAAAACUCAAAGGAAUUGACGGGGGCCCCGCACAAGCGGUGGAGCAUGUGGUUUAAUUCGAAGCAACGCGAAGAACCUUACCCAGACUUGACAUCUAGGGAACCCUGCUGAAAGGCGGGGGUGCCUUCGCAAGAAGGAGCCCUAAGACAGGUGCUGCAUGGCUGUCGU
Molecule: ribosomal RNA, 271 nt
Filed under: uncultured bacterium
Lineage: Bacteria
Description: partial 16S ribosomal RNA
Rfam family: Bacterial small subunit ribosomal RNA
Source: RNAcentral